This is a non-coding RNA of Acanthoscelides obtectus, 72 nucleotides long. NCBI's taxonomy places the organism in Eukaryota, Metazoa, Arthropoda, Insecta, Coleoptera, Chrysomelidae. The record is from the annotation of a GenBank genome assembly.
GCCACUGUAGCUCAGGGGCAGAGCUCUGGCUUUGUAAAUUAGGAGUCGUGCGUUCAAUCCUCACAGGAGGCA